GACGAACGCUGGCGGCGUGCUUAACACAUGCAAGUCGAACGGAAAGGCCCUGCUUUUGUGGGGUGCUCGAGUGGCGAACGGGUGAGUAACACGUGAGUAACCUGCCCUUGACUUUGGGAUAACUUCAGGAAACUGGGGCUAAUACCGGAUAGGAGCUCCUGCUGCAUGGUGGGGGUUGGAAAGUUUCGGCGGUUGGGGAUGGACUCGCGGCUUAUCAGCUUGUUGGUGGGGUAGUGGCUUACCAGGGCUUUGACGGGUAGCCGGCCUGAGAGGGUGACCGGCCACAUUGGGACUGAGAUACGGCCCAGACUCCCACGGGAGGCAGCAGUGGGGAAUAUUGCACAAUGGGCGGAAGCCUGAUGCAGCAACGCCGCGUGCGGGAUGACGGCCUUCGGGUUGUAAACCGCUUUCGCCUGUGACGAAGCGUGAGUGACGGUAAUGGGUAAAGAAGCACCGGCUAACUACGUG
RNAcentral lists this ribosomal RNA (468 nucleotides) under uncultured bacterium. Its description in RNAcentral is "partial 16S ribosomal RNA". It matches the Rfam family "Bacterial small subunit ribosomal RNA", at positions 28 to 507 of the family's 1533-position model. The record is from RNAcentral.